ACCCCCUCCUUGAUUCCCAUUUUUGAGAACGGAGCCUCACUCUAAAAAAACAAAGAACAUACACACACUUACACACAUUCGGUCAAUUAUUCAUCAACGAAAACAUACGCGUACCCAGGAGCAGCAAAGACUCUGGAACGCAAAUAUUUCAGAUCUGAAAAUUUUUCAAAGAGUGUUCCGAAUUUCCAAUGAGCUGAUUUCGCUGUUGUUUUCUCUGCUGUCCAGUAGCUGAAUUCCAACAUCACGUCUGGUUUUCAGCCUUUAUUUGGCUUUCGAUUUUUGUUUGCUAUUCAGAUACCGGUAUGGGUCCCAAUGGCGCGUAGUAACACUGCUCGUAUUCAAUUACUUUAAGAGACUUGAGGUAUAACUGCUCGGCGUCGGCAUCUCUGAAGUCCCCUUUCCAUUCUGUAUUUACUGUUUAUUUAGCUUCAAAUAAUUGUAUUUUGUUCAGACUUUAUCUGUAGUACUCUAGAUGCUCAUGUAUACGUGACUCCAAAUUCUGGGAUAUGUUUAGACUUCGUCAGCUAGUAUUUUAUUGUGUAUAUUUCAAUUGAUUACAAUUUGUUAA
This is a long non-coding RNA of Nicotiana tabacum (common tobacco), 568 nucleotides long. RefSeq lists it as uncharacterized. Lineage: Eukaryota; Viridiplantae; Streptophyta; Magnoliopsida; Solanales; Solanaceae. The record is from RefSeq and is a predicted model, not a curated record.